This 868-nucleotide ribosomal RNA is filed under the name uncultured bacterium. Its description in RNAcentral is "bacterial SSU rRNA". It matches the Rfam family "Bacterial small subunit ribosomal RNA", at positions 30 to 882 of the family's 1533-position model. The record is from RNAcentral.
CAGUCGAACGCGUCUUGGUUAUUGAUGUUAGAUGCUUGCAUUUAACUGAUUUAACAUUGAGACGAGUGGCGAACUGGUGAGUAACACGUGGGUAACCUGCCCUUGAAGUAGGGGAUAACACUUGGAAACAGGUGCUAAUACCGUAUAACAACCAAAACCACCUGGUUUUGGUUUAAAAGAUGGCUUCGGCUAUCACUUUAGGAUGGACCCGCGGCGUAUUAGCUUGUUGGUAAGGUAACGGCCUACCAAGGCAAUGAUACGUAGCCGACCUGAGAGGGUAAUCGGCCACAUUGGGACUGAGACACGGCCCAAACUCCUACGGAAGGCAGCAGUAGGGAAUCUUCCACAAUGGACGAAAGUCUGAUGGAGCAACGCCGCGUGAGUGAUGAAGGGUUUCGGCUCGUAAAACUCUGUUGUUGGAGAAGAACAGGUGUGAGAGUAACUGUUCACAUCUUGACGGUAUCCAACCGGAAAGCCACGGCUAACUACGUGCCAGCAGCCGCGGUAAUACGUAGGUGGCAAGCGUUGUCCGGAUUUAUUGGGCGUAAAGCGAGCGCAGGCGGUUUCUUAGGUCUGAUGUGAAAGCCUUCGGCUUAACCGGAGAAGUGCAUCGGAAACCAGGAGACUUGAGUGCAGAAGAGGACAGUGGAACUCCAUGUGUAGCGGUGAAAUGCGUAGAUAUAUGGAAGAACACCAGUGGCGAAGGCGGCUGUCUGGUCUGUAACUGACGCUGAGGCUCGAAAGCAUGGGUAGCGAACAGGAUUAGAUACCCUGGUAGUCCAUGCCGUAAACGAUGAGUGCUAAGUGUUGGAGGGUUUCCGCCCUUCAGUGCUGCAGCUAACGCAUUAAGCACUCCGCCUGGGGAGUA